Molecule: ribosomal RNA, 525 nt
Filed under: Penicillium citrinum
Lineage: Eukaryota; Fungi; Ascomycota; Eurotiomycetes; Eurotiales; Aspergillaceae
Also listed under: 1 other name
Description: eukaryotic LSU rRNA
Rfam family: 5.8S ribosomal RNA (bases 183-336)
Source: RNAcentral
CGUAACAAGGUUUCCGUAGGUGAACCUGCGGAAGGAUCAUUACCGAGUGCGGGCCCCUCGGGGCCCAACCUCCCACCCGUGUUGCCCGAACCUAUGUUGCCUCGGCGGGCCCCGCGCCCGCCGACGGCCCCCCUGAACGCUGUCUGAAGUUGCAGUCUGAGACCUAUAACGAAAUUAGUUAAAACUUUCAACAACGGAUCUCUUGGUUCCGGCAUCGAUGAAGAACGCAGCGAAAUGCGAUAACUAAUGUGAAUUGCAGAAUUCAGUGAAUCAUCGAGUCUUUGAACGCACAUUGCGCCCUCUGGUAUUCCGGAGGGCAUGCCUGUCCGAGCGUCAUUGCUGCCCUCAAGCCCGGCUUGUGUGUUGGGCCCCGUCCCCCCCGCCGGGGGGACGGGCCCGAAAGGCAGCGGCGGCACCGCGUCCGGUCCUCGAGCGUAUGGGGCUUCGUCACCCGCUCUAGUAGGCCCGGCCGGCGCCAGCCGACCCCCAACCUUUAAUUAUCUCAGGUUGACCUCGGAUCAGGUA